CAAAAAGCACAUGACUUACAUCACCUUAGUGCACAAACCCUUAGGAUUAAAUAUAAGAUCAUCCGUGAACCCCCGUGGGCUGGUUCUUGGAGAGCUCUGGCAAAUGGAUGUCACCAUCUUCCCUCCUUUGGUAAAUUAAAAUAUAUUCAUGACAUCAUUGAUACCCUUAGCGGCUUUAUCUAUGCAUCCCUCACAGUUUUGCCUCAACCUAAGAUUGUUAAAACAGAUAAUGAACCUCUACAUGUACGAAGAGAGAACCCAUCACCACCUUGACUCUUGCAGUACUCUUAGGCCUGUCAGCUGUUGGGACAGGAACUGGCGUUGCCUACCUGAUCACCUCCCAACAGAGUUAUUAUCAGCUCAGUGCCACCAUAGACAGGGACAUCAGUGAGCUUCAACAAGGAAUAACCUAUCUUAAAGAUUCAGUCACUUCCUUGGCUGAGGUUGAUCUACAAAAUAGAAAGGGAUUAGAUCUUCUCUUUCUUCAACAGGGAGGGCUCUGUGCAGCCCUCAAGGAGGAGUGUUGCUUUUAUGCUGAUAAGACAGGAUUAGUAGGAAACAGCCUACAAAAGUUGAGAAAGUCUACAAAAGAGACAAAGAGAAAGAGAAAAGAGUGAAGUCUGGUAUAAAAAUUGGUUUUCUGCCUCUCCCCUGCUCACCACUCUUUUACCCAGUAUGCUGGGUCCCUUUAUAGGACUCCUGCUACUCAUCUACUUUGGUCCAUGGGUGCUUAGAAAGUUAACUAAUUUUAUCAAGGCCCAGGUGGAUUCAGCUACCAAGCAGGUCUCUGUCCAUUACCACCGCCUCCAUUGUGAGGAGGCUGAGACAACCGGGGAGUGUGAUACUCCCCUUGGGUCGCCCAUGGCUGGCCUUGCUUUCUCCACCCUAAAUACAGCCUAUAACUCAGGCUGGAAAAUCAGUCGCUGGUGGAAGUGUCAAUGAUGGGAAUAUUAUGGUGACACAUACCAGGCACACACCUCACCGCUGUGAAGUAACCCUACACAGGAUUAGCAUGGGUUCAUGAUCUGGGUUGCCCACUCUCACAAAACACACAUGUAUAGCCCAGAACGGUGUGUUAAAGCAUAAGAUUGUUUCUAGCCAUCGGGGUGUAGUCCUAACUGCAAGAGUGGCUCAUCCAUGGCUGCGCUGGGCACUCUGUGAAGCAUAUCUGACCAAUUACAGACCACUACUUCCACCCUGGCAAGAAUAAUAAAACCUAAGUGAGAGUGCCAGAUGUGGGGGCAACCUGUGUAGCCUAAGACACGGGGCUUCACCGACUCCUUAUAGGUGCUGGUCUUGGAUGCACACCAUAUAACCUAGACAGACCUUCUUCCCACUGAUAGUUAAAGAAAGGGGGAGAUGUCCAGAACUGGACUGCUGGACUAGACAAAGCUAGAGUCCUGCCCUGAGCAGAUUCCUGAGAAGGGCUUGACCUUUUCAAAGAAUAAGAACAUCUUGUGGUUUAAUGAUUCACUUUAUGUCCUUGGGCACUUCCCAGUCUCCCCCCCCCCCCCAAGCUUCAGUUCCUGCUUCAGAGCUUUAAAUGCUGUACACUCCUCUCAAUAAACAGACCUGGACAAGGACACUGCUUUGUCUUGCUCCUCUUUCUUGCUCGUUCCCCCACAGGUACUCUUCGUCCUCAACCCCCAUGAAUAACUGAGUCCCCACUGGCAGGGACAGGCACUCAGAGCCAUGCUGGAAGAUAUACUUGGAAUUAAUCUUCCCAACUUACAUCACUGAAAGUGUCUGGGAAGAAUGUAGGGAAGACUACAUAUGCUUGAACAAAUUAUUUUGAAACAGUUGACUACAAAGAAGAGGAACCUACAGCUGUAAUAUAUUAAAAAUUGUGAAAGGUAUAGUUCUGUAGAUUUUCAGCAUGUUACACACUGUUACAUACAAUACAAGUACAGCCAGUUGAAAAAGUGGGCAGAGAAUUAUGCUGCCCAGAAAAAUCACACUUGUCAUAGAUGCACUUGAACUUAAUAAUGAUAUAUGAAUAUCAGAUAUAUGUGAAGACCUACAUUGGGCCAAAUGGAGAAAUAGAUUGCUGUAGGAAAUGGGGCUAAGAAUUAGAGUGAGAGCAAACUAUCUUCAGAUGUUUUAUAAUCAUGUAUGAUGGCACAGCCAGGAAUCAAAGCAACUUCUACCAAUAAUCAGGGCUCUAGGUACCCACUUCAAACCACAAACUUCUACUGCUGCUGACUUUAUGGAUUGGGAAAAGUAUUGACAUAAAAAUGUAAAACAAAAUAAUAAAUCUUGAAAAAUGUUCUGAUUUUGGUAAGAUGUUUAGAGUCAAUAAAGUGAAUUAUAUUAAUGAUUAUUUUCAUAGUAUGCAGAAAGACAUUCUGCAUACUUAUUUUUGGUUUUAGGAAAAAUAAAGAGGAGUUGAUUAUCGAUACUAUAAUUUUUAAAAGAAAUUUUAUAUUAAUUAAAUACUAUGGAAAAUGAGCUGUGUCAUAAUACUAGCAAUUAGAUACAGUUUUCAUAAUGUAAUAUUAAGUACACAAUUAUACUCUCAAAUACAGCUAAGAAAAUUGAUAAUUUUUAUUAAUAAUGUAUUUUCUUUCUUAAUUCACAUACAUUUACUGUCUAUCCCAUGCCAACUAGGGAACGAUAGAUAUUUAAGUAGGUGUGGUCUUUUGUGGUAAAUUUUCUACUUAGUUAAAUGAAACUAGAUCUAAUGUUAUCUCAUACUAUCGGAGAUUAAGGUGACAGGAACUUACGCAGUGCAGUAAGGUAAAGUGGUGUGAGUCCAUAACCAGGUAGAUCAAGGAGAAGUUAACAAUAAUUGCCAUGGUUCCAGCAAGGUGACUCAGCAGAAUGAGAAGCAAAGCCUUGCUGUCCUUCCUUCUUUCAUUUUUCUUCCAUGGUAUUACUGCCAGUCUUUUCUGUGGGAGCCAAGUCAACCCGAUCAUUUUGCAAUUAGACACACAGAUAAUAUAAUUGUGGAAACCAUUUUGCUAGGUGUAUCGUAUCAUAAUGUGAUGUUGUAUACAUUAAGCAUAUAUAUAUUGUAUUUAUCAGUUAACCUUUAUUAAGGUUUAGAAAAUAAUUGAAGUGAAAAUGAGCAAAAUGUAUAUGUAUAUUUUAUUAUGGCAAGGUGAAAGGUAUUAUUUGGUUUUCAGAGUUUUUAGAUGUUUAUUAUUUAUUGUUCCUGCUUGCUUAGAAGCUAUAAUGUUGUUGAUAUUCAUAUGGAUGAUAAAUCAUAGCGUUUUAAUUUGCCUUCUUUUAAAAAAUAAGAGCAAUCAUUCUAUUUCUAUAUGGGAUGGAGAAUAUGGCACAAGAUUUGCUCCAAGUUAAUUUUAUCUUGGAAGGAUAACUGUACAAGUUUUUAUAUUUUGGACAUUGAGGAAAAAAAGUUCUUUGUGAACUUUGUGAACAUACACGCACAUAAUAUAUUUAUUAUGCUGUUUCUGAUAGCCUUACAGACCUUUUUCUGAAUGCAUAAUUUCUUUCCAGUGGCUGUUCAUGGACACAAGUACUGUGUAUUAUUGUUAAAGUGGAACAAUAAAUAACACAAAAAUAAAACCAGAAGCAAAAGCACAGUUACUUGUUUUCUCAGGGUAUGAUAUGAAGUGUUGACUUUAAUAAACCAACUCAUCAGAUCUGAAUUUGAAAUUGAGAAACAAGGACAAAUAAGCCACUGUGCUCCAUAUGUGAAUGAGUAGCAGGAGCAGGGCACAGUCUGCAGAUGCAGAGGCAGAAGAAUGAAAGGUCUCCUGUACAUCAUCGCUAGCAGUAUUCCUGCACAAAGCAUACUUGUGUUUUCCAUCAACUGCACUGCUUUCUACAUUGGACUGAUAUUUCAGUUUUCCUAAAGCCUUAUCUUAUGUGUACCCUUGUUAGCUUCUUGCGUACUUUCCUUCAUCCUCUUGGUUUGAGGAUGUAUCUAUUAAAAUAUAAAUGAGAAUUUAA
This is a non-coding RNA of Rattus norvegicus (Norway rat), 3915 nucleotides long. The record is from RefSeq and is a predicted model, not a curated record. Lineage: Eukaryota; Metazoa; Chordata; Mammalia; Rodentia; Muridae.